Triticum dicoccoides is the source of this 3958-nucleotide long non-coding RNA. RefSeq lists it as uncharacterized. NCBI's taxonomy places the organism in Eukaryota, Viridiplantae, Streptophyta, Magnoliopsida, Poales, Poaceae. The transcript is spliced from 10 exons. The record is from RefSeq and is a predicted model, not a curated record.
CCCCCCUCCCACGCGCCUCCUCUCCUCCUUCCCCGCCGCCGCCUGACCUCCUCCUUCUACCCGCUGCUGCCCGGCCUCCUCCCGCCCGCGCCUCCCUCUCCUCCUUCCUCGCCGUCGCCCGGCCUCCUCCCCACCCGUGCCUUCCUCUCCUACUUCCACCCCACCGAUCUGGCGCCACCAAACCCUAGCGCCCCGCCCGGCCCCGGCUCCCACGGGAGGGAAGGAGGAAUGACGAGGCGAGGCAAAGGCGACGGCAUAUGGGACGUGGCGCGGGCGGCGUGGCCCAGGGGGUCGGCCUCCUCCUCCCCUACGGUGGCGCGCCGCCUCCGCCGUCGGCAGGAGGGGGCCGCGGUGGCCGCCGCGCAGCCCGACCAGGAGCUCCCCGGCGAGCAGCCGUUCCCCUACGAGAAGAAGGUGAGGAGGACACGCCCCUGCGUCAAGAGAUCCGUCAAGAGUUGCUCGCACCGGGAGAGGAAUCCACGUCUGCUCCUGCUGCUCGACUGAUUCCAGAGGGGUAUUCUGAAAUUACCAGAGGGAUGGUCAACUGCGAUGGGGCCUUUUCUCCGUGUUCUUGCACUUCACAGGAGCUAGCCCUGCUUACUGAAAUCUUGUUAAAGCAUUUACUUAGCUAGAUUGGAAGUCUAAAGACAGGAAGUAAACUUUGCAUUUGCUCUCGUCACAGCAUCACAUAUUCUUUGAGCAGUACACAAGUCAGAUUGAAGAUAAUUUCCAAGUCAUGGCUAGAGAAUGUUGAAGAUAAUUUCCAAGUCAUGGCUAGAGAAUGAAAGGGCUAAUAUUUGGAUUCUUCAUAAGAUGUAAAAAAAUCUUUAUGUUUGUACCGUGCAAUCAUACUUAAUCAUUAAUCUGACAAGGCUGGAAUAUUUGUUAUAGUAGCUAAUGACUGAGCCCCUGCUAUGUCUCGAAUAUCAGUAACCUCCUAGGUCUUUAACUAAUAGAAAUAAAUUACUCAUUUAUAUGAUUAUUCAACAUGGUGUUUGCUUUAUCAUGUUUCUGGUUUCUCUCGUUUGUUCUUCCAACAUGAUAGACUGCUGGUCUAGGAAUAUCAUAGCAUCCAUCUUGACCAAACAAGUACUGAUAACCUUCUCUUCCACUAUUAGGGCAUUGAUAUGCUCUUUUGAAUAAUUUCCAGUUUUCGAAGUCCAUCGCUGUAUUUUGGUUGGUUCAUGAGUGCACCAUUAUGUGAAGAUUCCGUAAUGAUGCUUUUAUUUGGUUUCACUUGGUGCAGGGCAAGAAAUUAGUUUUUGUAGGAAGUCGAGAAGGCAGUAUUCAAAGAAAUUCAAAACACUUGGCCUUGAAGUUACUGAGGAAGAGAUCUUCACGUCAUCAUUUGCAGCAGCCAUGUUCUUGAAGUUAAAUAAUUUUUCUCCAGAAAAGAAGAAGGACUGUUUCUAGCUCUUAACUCCUUCCUUCAUCCUUCAUCUGCAAAACGUGCCAAAAAAGACGAAUUUAUUCACCUGCAUUUUUCUCGGUCAUUUUGGGCGCAGAAGUAGACUCAGCGGACAUUAUGUCAUGGACGAACUGUAGGUGGCUCAGUCUGAUUGACACAAGAAAGGGGCAAGGCCAGCUCCAUGUUCCUCUAGCAGAACUGGACCACCAAUCGUUAUAGUUCUGGUCUCAGGAAGCAGGAUGAAUUGGUCCAUCAACGAACACUUUUGCUGCAGAUCUUGGCAGCAAAAAGAGAACUGACUAGGCCCUGGUCAUCUCCGCCCCUGAUAGUGCUCCUAGAUGUGCUACACAUCACCUCCUCGUCUCCUUGGCCGCUUCGCAGCCAGUGGCGUUCGUGCUCGUCGGCAGGACGGUGCAAGGCGCCACUCGAACGUGGUUCCUCGCCGGUUGGACGGUGUUCAGCCCGGCGCCCACUGAGUACUGCCUCGGCUACAACCUCCCUCGGUGAGCUCCAUCUUCCCCUGCUCUACUUCGGCUACUAUAUGGGACAUGGGCAGGGCUAUGAUGAUCAGUUGUCGCUGAUAUAGGCAUGCUCUCGAGCAAUCAAGGCACUUGUGGGUAUUAAUUUGGAUCCUCCCUCGUUUCUUUGAGUCGUUUUGAUCACGUUCUUAUUUUAGUGGCUCCUAUCCUUGGAUGGUCAUUUCUGAUGAGUGAUAACCAGGGCAGUUUCACCCUCAUGAGAACAUAUUGAUCUGGUGAUCCAUCCAUCAAGAAAUAAGGGAUGCAGUCACUCCCGGGCGCUCCCAGAGCUCAGGUGAUUCUGGCCGUCGGAUCAAUUUCCUGAUGCAAUUCUAGCCGCCGGAUCUCGCUCCGGAUUGAUCUCGGCCAUUGGGUCGAGCCUGAGCUCCUGUAGCAAUGAAUAGUUACUCCCGCGGUGAGAUAUCUUGUGUCAUCGCGUGUGAAUCACGUGCCCCAUCGGUCGGAAGCCAUUCUUGCUAGGGCGAUGAUGAUUAACCGUCGCUGAAAUAAGUGUGCCUUUGAGCAAUCGAGUUACCUGUGGGUAUCAAGUUGGAUCCUCCCUCUUGUCUCUAGAAUCCUUUUUGAUCCUGUGAUACUUAUUGUUCUGUCCUUGGAUGGUCAUUCUUGUUGAGUGAUAACCAGGGCAACUCUACUGCAUAAACAAAUUGAUCUGGUGAUAAGAGAUGAUGGGGGUAGGUUAUAUGAUCGAGGAAAGGCGAAUCUGAGCCCACUAUGCAAUAGAACUGCAGCUACCUCCCCUAAUGUGUGUAGUAUUGAAGGCAAUAAAGAACUUUUCAUGUCUUGCCACUUUAAAAUUCAAAAAAGGUUCAUUCUUCCUUUGCUGGUUACUUAACCAUGAUUUUUGUUUUUCUUUGGUUCUGGUUGAGAUACUAAAGGUUGUUUAUUUAUGAAAAGAACAAACACUUGUAGUUUUGUAUGCCUCAGCUGUUGCUUAGGAUCCAGUGUUGUAGUGCUUUGCCUAAUUACAAAUAACUCUAAUCAAUAAUAGUGGUAUCAAUAAUAGUGGUUCUUUCCUUCUGAUUUGAACUGAGAGAGAGAGCCAUCCAUUGAUUCUUGAUCUUAAGGUGACCCCAUUUUUCUACGCCUCAUGCUCAUGCUGCUCUAUGUUCCCUUUUAAAAAUUCUUGCUUGCAUUUUGGGUUGGUUUCUGCUCUAUGUUCCCUUUUAGCGUUUCUUUCCGUUGUUGCUGCACUCCCUUUUGGGCGUUCAUUUCAUGCCCGGGAUCUUGCAAAUUGUGCCUGUGUCGAGCUUGCUUAGAGUACGGGCUGCGGAGACGUCGAGGACCUCAAGGUCACCGAUGUUGUGGAGCUGGAUGAGGUUUCCACGCAGUUCAUCGACCGCCUGUUCUUCCUGGAGAAGGUCUAGAGAUGAUUUACUCUGCCAGGCGGCAGCACUCGAAGCACACAGGAUCCUGAACCUCAACAACAACCCCUACUUUUCUGGGCCCUAAUUUAUUCAAAGAACACUACAUGUCACAUGAAUUCAAAAUUACUUCUCUGGAGAUAUUCUCCAUGUUUGAUGGCCAUGACCGAGGUUUGAUGUUUUUGUAUUUGCUGGGAUUUGAUAGGACCAGGAGUCCAGGACCAUGAUACUCGUAGUACUGUUCCAUGGCACUGACAGUGAAACAUAUCACAUGCUCAGCAAGAAAACAAAGUCUCAGCCUACUACCUGCAGGACUUUAGUCUUUAAUGACUAAAUGAACGGAUCACAUGAUACAUAGAUGGGGAAUGCCAUUGCUCAAAGGCGAGCACACGUGACCUUAUUGAAGGAGUUUUGCCCUCCAUUUGUGUCUCAAAUGUCGAUGAUGCCCUCUGUGCUAUCACUCGCAUGUCCUUUUUAUUUUGUUUAUUCAGCGAAUGUUGGAUUAGACAAGGAUUUAUUCACGUUGGAUCUGUACAACUAUGGACUAUUCAUGCAAUUUUUUAUUCAAACUUUGAAAUGAGAGAAUUGGAUGCUUUGUUGUUGCAUGUUUUUUCUUGAUGUUAGAUUAUCUAUUGCCAUUUUUAUGUAUU